Molecule: unclassified non-coding RNA, 21 nt
Filed under: Dictyostelium discoideum
Lineage: Eukaryota; Evosea; Eumycetozoa; Dictyosteliales; Dictyosteliaceae
Source: RNAcentral
UAAUCCAUUUACGACCUCUUG